Molecule: ribosomal RNA, 419 nt
Filed under: uncultured ammonia-oxidizing beta proteobacterium
Lineage: Bacteria; Pseudomonadati; Pseudomonadota; Betaproteobacteria
Description: bacterial SSU rRNA
Rfam family: Bacterial small subunit ribosomal RNA
Source: RNAcentral
UGGAGGAAAGCAGGGGAUCGCAAGACCUUGCGCUUUUGGAGUGGCCGAUGCCUGAUUAGCUAGUUGGUGGGGUAAGAGCCUACCAAGGCGACGAUCAGUAGUUGGUCUGAGAGGACGACCAGCCACACUGGGACUGAGACACGGCCCAGACUCCUACGGGAGGCAGCAGUGGGGAAUUUUGGACAAUGGGCGAAAGCCUGAUCCAGCAAUGCCGCGUGAGUGAAGAAGGCCUUCGGGUUGUAAAGCUCUUUCAGUCGAGAAGAAAAGGUCGCGACUAAUAAUCGCAACUUAUGACGGUAUCGACAGAAGAAGCACCGGCUAACUACGUGCCAGCAGCCGCGGUAAUACGUAGGGUGCGAGCGUUAAUCGGAAUUACUGGGCGUAAAGGGUGCGCAGGCGGCUCUGUAAGUCAGAUGUGA